Molecule: non-coding RNA, 163 nt
Filed under: Aestuariivirga litoralis
Lineage: Bacteria; Pseudomonadati; Pseudomonadota; Alphaproteobacteria; Hyphomicrobiales; Aestuariivirgaceae
Description: 6S / SsrS RNA
Rfam family: 6S / SsrS RNA
About the family: E. coli 6S RNA was the first non coding RNA to be sequenced, but its function was unknown until recently. It consists of 184 nucleotides that fold into an extended hairpin structure with a large single-stranded internal bulge.
Source: Rfam by way of RNAcentral
GGCGGGCUGCCCGGUGCGUGAGAUGACAUUUUUUCCCUGGGGCCUAUGCGUUUCCGAAUGGGAGCUGUCCCUGGGCUUGGCCGUGGCCUUGCCCAAACGGCGCCCACCUACACUUGUAGGGACCCGGGAUCGUUAGUCACUCACGGCCCAUGGUGGCUCGCCA